Molecule: ribosomal RNA, 497 nt
Filed under: uncultured bacterium
Lineage: Bacteria
Description: partial 16S ribosomal RNA
Rfam family: Bacterial small subunit ribosomal RNA
Source: RNAcentral
GAUGAACGCUGGCGGCGUGCCUAAUACAUGCAAGUCGAGCGAACAGACGAGGAGCUUGCUUCUCUGAUGUUAGCGGCGGACGGGUGAGUAACACGUGGAUAACCUACCUAUAAGACUGGGAUAACUUCGGGAAACCGGAGCUAAUACCGGAUAAUAUUUUGAACCGCAUGGUUCAAUAGUGAAAGACGGUCUUGCUGUCACUUAUAGAUGGAUCCGCGCUGCAUUAGCUAGUUGGUAAGGUAACGGCUUACCAAGGCGACGAUGCGUAGCCGACCUGAGAGGGUGAUCGGCCACACUGGAACUGAGACACGGUCCAGACUCCUACGGGAGGCAGCAGUAGGGAAUCUUCCGCAAUGGGCGAAAGCCUGACGGAGCAACGCCGCGUGAGUGAUGAAGGUCUUCGGAUCGUAAAACUCUGUUAUUAGGGAAGAACAAAUGUGUAAGUAACUAUGCACGUCUUGACGGUACCUAAUCAGAAAGCCACGGCUAACUACGUG